ACAGCCCCGUCGGCAUGGGGACGCGCAGCUGGUGGGAUCUCGCCAUGGCCUGGGCCCCUCUCCUCCUCGCGGUGCUCGCCCACACCUCAGGUUCCCUGGUCCAGGCAGCGAUUACUCAGCCGGCCUCGAAGUCAGUGAACCCGGGAGACACCGUGCAGAUCACCUGCUCCGGGAGCAGCAACAACUAUGGCUGGUACCAGCAGAAGACCCCUGUCACUGGCCCUGUCACCGUGAUCUACAACAGCAGCCAGAGACCCUCGGGCAUCCCUUCACGAUUCUCUGGUUCCAAAUCUGGCUCCGUGAGCACGUUAGCCAUCACAGAAUCACAGAAUCACAGAAUCACAGAACUGUAGGGGUUCGAAGGGUCC
Molecule: non-coding RNA, 368 nt
Organism: Anas platyrhynchos (mallard)
Lineage: Eukaryota; Metazoa; Chordata; Aves; Anseriformes; Anatidae
Source: the annotation of a RefSeq genome assembly